This 76-nucleotide transfer RNA is filed under the name Clostridium perfringens. Its description in RNAcentral is "tRNA-Asn". It matches the Rfam family "tRNA". Rfam says of the family: Transfer RNA (tRNA) molecules are approximately 80 nucleotides in length. Their secondary structure includes four short double-helical elements and three loops (D, anti-codon, and T loops). Further hydrogen bonds mediate the characteristic L-shaped molecular structure. tRNAs have two regions of fundamental functional importance: the anti-codon, which is responsible for specific mRNA codon recognition, and the 3' end, to which the tRNAs corresponding amino acid is attached (by aminoacyl-tRNA synthetases). tRNAs cope with the degeneracy of the genetic code in two manners: having more than one tRNA (with a specific anti-codon) for a particular amino acid; and 'wobble' base-pairing, i.e. permitting non-standard base-pairing at the 3rd anti-codon position. Lineage: Bacteria; Bacillati; Bacillota; Clostridia; Eubacteriales; Clostridiaceae. RNAcentral also lists the same sequence under 1 other name. The record is from RNAcentral.
GGAGAGAUAGCUCAGUUAGUAGAGCAGUAGACUGUUAAUCUAUUGGUCGAGAGUUCAAGUCUAUCUAUCUCCGCCA